Molecule: ribosomal RNA, 65 nt
Filed under: Dendrophylax porrectus
Lineage: Eukaryota; Viridiplantae; Streptophyta; Magnoliopsida; Asparagales; Orchidaceae
Also listed under: 24 other names
Description: partial 5.8S ribosomal RNA
Rfam family: 5.8S ribosomal RNA
About the family: 5.8S ribosomal RNA (5.8S rRNA) is a component of the large subunit of the eukaryotic ribosome. It is transcribed by RNA polymerase I as part of the 45S precursor that also contains 18S and 28S rRNA. Functionally, it is thought that 5.8S rRNA may be involved in ribosome translocation.
Source: RNAcentral
GACACGACUCUCGGCAAUGGAUAUCUCGGCUCUCGCAUCGAUGAAGAGCGCAGCGAAAUGCGAUA